CCUACGGGCGGCAGCAGUGGGGAAUAUUGCACAAUGGGCGCAAGCCUGAUGCAGCCAUGCCGCGUGUGUGAAGAAGGCCUUCGGGUUGUAAAGCACUUUCAGCGGGGAGGAAGGCGUUAAGGUUAAUAACCUUGGCGAUUGACGUUACCCGCAGAAGAAGCACCGGCUAACUCCGUGCCAGCAGCCGCGGUAAUACGGAGGGUGCAAGCGUUAAUCGGAAUUACUGGGCGUAAAGCGCACGCAGGCGGUCUGUCAAGUCGGAUGUGAAAUCCCCGGGCUCAACCUGGGAACUGCAUUCGAAACUGGCAGGCUAGAGUCAUGUAGAGGGGGGUAGAAUUCCAGGUGUAGCGGUGAAAUGCGUAGAGAUCUGGAGGAAUACCGGUGGCGAAGGCGGCCCCCUGGACAAAGACUGACGCUCAGGUGCGAAAGCGUGGGGAGCAAACAGGAUUAGAUACCCUAGUAGUC
This 465-nucleotide ribosomal RNA is filed under the name uncultured Klebsiella sp. RNAcentral describes it as "bacterial SSU rRNA". It matches the Rfam family "Bacterial small subunit ribosomal RNA", at positions 338 to 795 of the family's 1533-position model. The record is from RNAcentral. Lineage: Bacteria; Pseudomonadati; Pseudomonadota; Gammaproteobacteria; Enterobacterales; Enterobacteriaceae.